UACGUAGGGUGCAAGCGUUGUCCGGAAUUACUGGGCGUAAAGGGCGCGUAGGCGGCACUGUUAGUCAGGCGUGAAAGUCCUGGGCUCAACCUGGGAACUGCGCUUGAUACGGCAGAGCUAGAGGAUGGAAGAGGGUCGCGGAAUUCCCAGUGUAGAGGUGAAAUUCGUAGAUAUUGGGAAGAACACCGGUGGCGAAGGCGGCGACCUGGUCCAUUACUGACGCUGAGGCGCGACAGCGUGGGGAGCAAACAGG
This 253-nucleotide ribosomal RNA is filed under the name uncultured bacterium. RNAcentral describes it as "partial 16S ribosomal RNA". It matches the Rfam family "Bacterial small subunit ribosomal RNA", at positions 524 to 776 of the family's 1533-position model. The record is from RNAcentral.